GCAAUUACAGAACAGCAAGGUCAGCUGCCGGGAGCAAGAAUCUCCCUUUUGGCAGAGAAAAACAGAUGGAUGGAAACACAACGAUAUACAGAAAGAUGUUACCUCUUGGAGGGGGGGUGUUUUUCAGAUGCUGGUCACCAUAGAUGCUGGUCACCACCAUGCCCUUUCAUAAGUGUCCUUACAAAAGGAGGAAAUCAGGACAGAUACAUCCAGAGGGAAGACGCUAUGAAGACACAGAGAAGAGGGCCAUCUAUGCCAAGGAGAGGGGUAGGAAGCAAAUUCUUCCCACACACACCUCGGAGGAACCAACCCUGCUGACACCUUAAUUUUGGACUUCCAGCUUCC
Molecule: long non-coding RNA, 345 nt
Filed under: Homo sapiens (human)
Lineage: Eukaryota; Metazoa; Chordata; Mammalia; Primates; Hominidae
Description: non-protein coding lnc-CMKLR1-3:1
Source: RNAcentral